CGAACGGGGUGAGUAAUGCGUGACCAACCUGCCCCAUGCUCCAGAAUAGCUCUUGGAAACGGGUGGUAAUGCUGGAUGCUCCAACUUGACGCAUGUCUUGUUGGGAAAGUGUUUAGUGGCAUGGGAUGGGGUCGCGUCCUAUCAGCUUGUAGGCGGGGUAAUGGCCCACCUAGGCUUCGACGGGUAGCCGGCCUGAGAGGGCGGACGGCCACAUUGGGACUGAGAUACGGCCCAGACUCCUACGGGAGGCAGCAGGA
This 257-nucleotide ribosomal RNA is filed under the name uncultured Gardnerella sp. RNAcentral's name for it is "partial 16S ribosomal RNA". It matches the Rfam family "Bacterial small subunit ribosomal RNA", at positions 99 to 354 of the family's 1533-position model. The record is from RNAcentral. Lineage: Bacteria; Bacillati; Actinomycetota; Actinomycetes; Bifidobacteriales; Bifidobacteriaceae.